This 76-nucleotide non-coding RNA is filed under the name Thalassiosira minuscula. The record is from RNAcentral. Lineage: Eukaryota; Bacillariophyta; Thalassiosirophyceae; Thalassiosirales; Thalassiosiraceae.
AUUAGAAAGAAUGGAAAACGCUCCACAUUGCGUGUCUCUUUUGUUUCCAUUUUCCACAUUUUCUUAAUUUCUCUUU